Molecule: long non-coding RNA, 17644 nt
Filed under: Triticum aestivum (bread wheat)
Lineage: Eukaryota; Viridiplantae; Streptophyta; Magnoliopsida; Poales; Poaceae
Description: long non-coding RNA (TAES_LNC005426)
Source: RNAcentral
UCUUUCCAAAACAAACUAGAUAAGAUGCAGAUUGGAUCAAGUGAAGAUGUGAACGAUCUCAACUAUUAUUAUGACAAUGAAUGGUGGGUAGCACGUGGUGGAAAUUGAUGGAUCGGUGGUGGACAGCGGAAGAGAUAAUGAUGCAGCGGUGGCGUGACUAAUGUGAACAGAACUCGAAACUCUAAACGAACUAGACACUAAGACCAGCAAUUCGACACGACGAUGCAACCGAUAAUUCAACUAUGCAAACAAUGAAAAGAAAAUUGCAAAGCCUCAGACUGGCUUGGACCAAGGAUGAAUAGAUCUAACUCUUUUUUUGUGGCUUUUUCUUGGACAAUAGGUAAGAAAAUAAAUCUAAUCUAGGAAAACUGGAAAUUCUCAUUGAGCAACCUGAAAACUGAUACCACUUGAUAGAGGCGGGGUGUCCCGAUCUUUCGAUGAGAUGAUAACUAUCGAUUUGGUGGAGACGACUUUGACGAUCCGACUACAAACGUGCAACGACGUUGUGCCUUAGCAAUCGCUAAACCAACUCCGAGAGGUUAUUGACCACGCUAGAACAUGAUCAACCUGACCACGAAGGUCUAUUCCUGCAAGCAAUAGAAGAACAAGCAAGAAUAUGAUAAAAGCAAUCUAAAUAUCGCGAAUAUGUAUGAAGUAUUGAUAAUGGUGGGGAUCCGAAAAGUGGUCUUGGUCUGGUCGUUGGACACAAACGAAGCACACGAAGUUGCAAUGGCUAACUUUUAACUAAACAAAUCCCAAGGAAAAAGCUACUAGAUGGAUCUACUUAUAUAGGAGCAAGGGGUGGCGGCCAAGGAGGUGGGAGGACGUCCCAAGGUAGCCUAAAACUAACCCUAGGUCGUACAAGGCUCAUGGGCCCAAGUGGAGGUGAUGCAACACCUUUGGGCUUGUAGUUUGACUCGGAUUCUGCUGCAACGUCAGAUUGUUUCAUCCGUAACUCAACGCUCCGGACGAAUUUGAAGGUGAAUCUAAUUGGGUUGGAAAGAGCACGAAAUCUAGUUUCCAACAAAAAAAGAAUCACCCAAUUCGGAGUCCGUAUGAAAAAGUUGUUGGCGUUUUGAGUCAGAUAUGUCUGUGCAGUCCGAAUCUGAAUCCAGAACGUGAGAGACUUCGAUUCUAUCUUCUCUUGGCCCAAAAGUGACGUGAGAGGACUUUUUGAACACAACCUAAACUUCUCCUUUUCCCUUAUCUUCAUAUGUGGAUUGUACAAAUGUCCCAUACACCUGCAAUUAGACAAAACACAAAAGUGUGUGAAGUAUUUUUGUUCUGGAUAACAUAAAUAGAUUAUUGAAUAGUUUGCAUUAGAAAUCACCUGACAAACAUGCAUGUAUGCAAUAUUUUUGGUCGUAUCCAAGGUAUUCAUGUCCUCAUCAGGACUUGACGUCACGGUCCAAGACGAUAAUCUUUGGCACUCCAUGUAGAUGCAAUAUUUCCCUACAAAAGAGAAUAGCAACAUGUGAAGCAUCGUCUAUCUUGUUGCAAGAAAUUAAAUGUGCCAUUUUUGAGAAACGGUCCACAACGACAAACACCGAAUCUUUCCCAUUUCAAGUCCUAGGCAAACCAAGUACAAAGUCCAUGCUAAUGUCUUCCCAUGGUUGAUAUGGAAUUGGUAGAGGCAUAUAAAGGCCAUGAGAUUGAGCUUUGGACUUAGCUUUGCGACAUGUAGAGCAUCGGUUGGUGAAGCGAUUGACGUCACGAAACAUCUUAGGCCAAUAGUAGUUCUUUGAUAGCGUAGCGAACGUCUUGUCGCGUCCAAAAUGUCCCAUUAAGCCUCCUCCAUGAGAUUCCUGCAAAAGCAACAAACGAAGAGAAGGCUCGGGGAUGCAAAGUUUGUUAGCUCUCAUAAGAUAUCCAUCUUUGAUGUAAUAGCAUUCCCAAGAUGUAUGCGUCAAACACUUGGCAUAAGGAGUAGCAAAGGUAGGAUCGUGCUCAUACAAGUCUUUGAUAUGCUCAAAACCAAUGACAUCCAAUUCAAGUUGAGUAACAAGCAUGCAUAUGCGGGAAAGGGCAUCCACUACAAUGUUUUCUUUACCUUUAAUGUACUUGAUGGCAUAAGGAAAAGACUCGAUAAAUUCACUCCAUUUCGCAUGACGCAUGUUCAACUUGGUUUGGCCCUUAAGGUACUUGAGCAUUUCAUGAUCUGUAUGAAUGAUAAACUCAUGAGGGCGAAGAUAGUGUUCCCAUUCAUGCAAAACGCGGACUAAAGCAUAUAGCUCUUUGUCAUAGAUAGGGUAAUUGAGUUGCGCGCCGAAGAGUUUCUCACUAAAGCUAUGGGGCGCUUCUCUUGCGUUAACACACCUCCUAUGCCAUUACCACUAGCAUCGAAAUGAAUCUCAAAGGGUUUGUCAAAGCAUGAUUAAGCAAAUUCUUAAGCUCAUUGAAAGCAGUAUCUUGGGAUGGUCCCCAAACAAAAGGCGCACUCUUCUUGCUCAAAGCAUGCAAAGGCGAAGCAAUGGUGCUAAAAUCCUUCACAAAGCGACAAUAGAAACCCGCAAGGCCAAGAAAACUAUGCACAUGUUGCAAGUUGGUUGGUUGUGGCCAAGUCUUAAUAGCAUUGAUCUUGGACUCAUCAACAUGAUCACCCUUAGAAGAAACAACAAAACCCAAGAAAACGAGCUUAUCAACGCAAAAAAGGCAUUUCUCCAUAUUAGCAUAGAGUUGCUAUUUUCGAAGAGUUUGCAAAACGGUUCGAGCAUGGGUGACAUGAUCUUUAAGAGAUUUUCUACGAACAAGGAUAUCAUCAAAGUAGACCACAACAAAUAUACCAAUGUAAGGGCGAAAGACACGAUUCAUAAGAUGCAUAGAAGUACCCGGUGCUUCCGAUAGACCCAUAGGCAUGACUAACCACUCAUACAAGCCAAAUUUGGUUUUGAAAGCGGUUUUCCAUUCAUCACCCUCUUGUAUGUGGAUUUGAUAGUAACCACUCUUAAGGACAAUUUUGCAAAAGAUAGUGGCACCACUAAGCUCAUCAAGCAUAUCAUCUAGGCGUGGAAUGGGAUACCUAUAGCGAACGAUGAUAGCAUUGAUGGGUCUACAAUCGGAGCACAUGCGAAAGUUACCGUCUCGUUUUGGCACAAGAAUGACCGGGAUGGCACAAGGGCUCAAACUUUCACGCACAUGUCCAUGGUCUAUGAGAUGCUUUACUUGCCUUUGUAUUUCUUUGGUUUCUUCGGGGUUGACGCGGUAGGGAGCUUUGUUCGGAAGCGGUGCUCCGGGGAUGAGGUAGAUGCGGUGAUCAAUGCCUCAUAGUGGAGGUAGUCCCGGAGGUAGCUCGUCGGGGAAAACAUUGUGAAAUCGAUGCAAAAGAGAAGACAACACUAGAGGAAGAGUGUGAGAAGUAUUAGUUUGUGGGACAUUGUCCUUGCACACAAGGACGUAGUUAGGACACUAGAUGGGUUCUCACACACUCCUCUUAUCUCACUUUUGGUGGCAAAUAGGACUAAGUUCUUCUUUUCGCUCAUCGUGGAGGUGUUCGAUUUGGGCUUGUGGCGCUCACUCUCUUUUUGGUGGCUCUCUCUCUCACUAUGAUCUCCGCGAUGGGUGGCUUGCUUAUCGGCGACAACUUGGCUUGGACACAUGGGACGAAGUACAUACUCCUUGCCCUUCAUCUUGAAGAUGUAGUAGUUCGUUCGGCCGUUGUGGAUGACUCCUCUAUCAAAUUGCCAUGGGCGUCCAAGGAGAAGAUGGAAAAUGGUCAUUGGAAUGACGUCGCACUCCAAGGUGUCUUCGUAGGCGCCAAUUUUGAAGGAGACUUGUACUCGGUGCUCGACUUGGAUGGUGCCGGAGUCGCUAAGCCAUUGCACUUUGUAUGUAUGUGGGUGCUUCAUCUUGGGCAAUUGGAGCUUGGAGCAAAGUUCUUCACUUGCGAGGUUAUGACAAUUUCCUCCCUCAAUGAUGAUCUUGACGGAUCGUCCAUUGAUGCCGGCCUUGGUGUGGAAUAUGUGGCAGCGUUGGUCUUCUUCUUGGUGAUGUUGGAGAGUCAAGACCUUGGAGACAACAAGAGCGGGACUUGAAUCUUCAUCGCAAAAGACUUGUUCCUCUUCAUCGUUCACUUGCCGGUGCAUGGCGACUUGCUCGAUGGCGUCCAUUUCUUCUUCACUCAUUGAAUCAUAGGUGCCGUCGUCAUUGAGGAUCAUGGUCCGCUUGUUGGUGCACUCAUAGGACUUGUGGCCUCGGCCUCUGAUAGAGGCGAGGGUGUCCCGAUCUUUCGAUGAGAUGAUAACUAUCGAUUUGGUGGAGACGACUUUGACGAUCCGACUACAAACGUGCACGACGUUGCGCCUUAGCAAUCGCUAAACCAAUCUCCUGAGGUUACUGAUGAUGCCGGAAGCACGGUCAGCCUGACCACGAAGGUCUAUUCCUGCAAGCAAUCGAAGAACGAGCAAGAAUAUGAUAAAGCAAUCUGAAUAUUGCAAAUAUAUAUGAGGUAUUGAUAAUGGUGGGGAUCCGUAAGCGGUCUUGGUCUGGUCGUUGGACACAAACGAAGUACACGAAGUUGCAAUGGCUAACUUUUACCUAAACAAAUCCCCAGGAAAAGCUACUAGAUGGAUCUACUUAUAUAGGAGCAAGGGGUGGCGGCCAAGGAGGUGGGAGGACGUCCCAAGGCAGCCUAAAACUAAAUUUAGGUCAUACAAGGCCAAUGGGCCCAAGUGGAGGUGAUGUAACACCUUUGGACUUGUAGUUUGACUCGGAUUCUGCUGCAGUAUCAGAUUGUUUCGUCCACAACUCAACGCUCCGGACGAAUUUGAAGGUGAUUCCAAUUGGGUUGGAAAGUGCACGAAAUCUAGUUUCCAACAAAAAAAGAAUCACCCAAUUCGGAGUCCGUAUGAAAAACUUGUGUGCGUUUUGAGUCAGGUGUGUCUGUGGAGUCCGAAUCUGAAUCCAGAACGUGAGAGACUUGGACUCUAUCUUCUCUUGGGCCAAAAGUGACGUGAGAGAACUUUUUGGACAGCAAAUAAACAUCUCUUUCUUCCUUAUCAUCAUAUGUGGAUUGUACAAAUGUCCCAUACACCUGCAAUUAGACAAAACACAAAAGUGUGUGAAGUAUUUUUGUUCUGGAUAACAAAAAUAGAUUAUUGAAUAGUUUGCACUAGAAAUCACCUGACAAAUAUGCAUAUAUGCAAUAUUUUUGGUCAUAUCCAAGGUAGUCAUGUCCUCAUCAUCCUCCCCUUCUUGAAAAUAAAGCCGUCCUCGGCGUUGCUUAAUCUGAAAUGUGGCUAACAAAAGAGACAAGGUGUAUAUGUUGUAUAUGUAUAUGUCAUCCAUUUUUACUUCCCUUGAUUUUUGCAUAUAUGACACAUGAAUAGAUGAGUAACUUGCAUAGUUCAUAAAAUCUAAAGCCAAAAAAUUAGCACAAGAAGUAGAAGGCAUGAAAAUAUUGCAACUCAGUUUGCACAUAUGAUAGAGGCAAAGGUGUCCCGUCUUUCGAUGAGAUGGUGGAUUUCGCUUUGGUGGAAGUCGACUUUGACGAUCCGACUACGAACAUGCGAGGACGUCACGCCUUAGCAAUCGCUAAACCAACUCCGAGAGGUUAUUGACCACGCCGGAGCACGAUCAACCUGACCACGAGGGUCUGUUUCCUGCGAGCAAACGAAGAACAAGCAAGAAACUAAGAUUGCAAUCUGGAUAUUGCGAAUAUAAGAUGAAAUCUUUAUUGAUCAAGGUGGGGUUCUGUGACGCCUUUGUCUGGUCGUUGAACACAAACGAAGUACGCGAAGUUGCAGCUAUGGCGAACUUUUAAUCUAAACAAAACCCAAAGUCUAAACGAUGCCCUAAGGGCUGUAUAUAUGGAGGAAGAGGGGGGAAUUUCGUGGCCCUUGGUGGAGGGGUCCGAAAUCAACCCUAUCUCUUGUUUCCCCACACAUACGGACUCUAAAAAUAGCCUAUACUUAUGUAUUUCGAAAUUACAUGGGCCUGGCCCAAUAAUAAGGUGACGCAGCACCUAAAAUAGCCUCGGGACGAAAUUUAUGAAGUGGCAUCUUGUAUAUUUCGUCCAAGGCUUCAUGCACCCAUUAUGGUGGCUUCGAAGUCCUGAAAUCAUCACUUGUAACUCCGUUCUUGUUCCCCUUGCGCAUGCCAUCAUCUCCAUGCUUGUUCUUGCUCCAAUGUUCAUCCUUCUCCAAGCUAGGCCCUUCAUUUGUAAGCAAAACAAAUGUAUCCAAUUUAGGCAGCAUCAUAUUCUCAUGAACAUUAGAAUCAUUACCAAGAAACGAAAGUACCUGGUAAUUUAGUUGGCGUGCACGAGCUCUAGUAAUUGGUCCAGUAUGUAUAGCAGCAGGGGCUGUGGGUGUAACAAUUGUAUUUAUGUCCUUAUCAUGGGAAGUGCACCUUUUGCACCGACCGAGUAUCUUUUCUUGGCUAUGUUGUUACUCCACAGGGAAUUGAAGUUGAUAAAGCCAAGAUUGAAGCUAUUGAGAUUUGGCCGCAGCCCAAAACGGUCACACAAGUGAGGAGUUUUCUUGGCCUCGCUGGAUUCUAUGGGCGUUUUGUGAGAGAUUUCAGCACCAUUGCUGCACCUCUCAAUGAGCUUACAAAGAAAGAUGUGCCUUUUCUUUCGGUACCGCACAGGAAGAAGCCUUCUCGGUAUUGAAAGAUAAGUUGACACAUGCUCCUUUACUCCAACUUCCUGAUUUUAAUAAGACUUUUGAGCUUGAAUGUGAUGCUAGUGGAAUUGGAUUAGGCGGUGUGUUAUUACAAGAUGGCAAACCUGUUGCAUACUUUUCUGAAAAAUUGAGUGGGCCUAGUCUGAAUUAUUCUACUUAUGAUAAAGAAUUAUAUGCUCUUGUUCGGACUUUAGAAACAUGGCAACAUUAUUUAUGGCCCAAAGAAUUUGUUAUACAUUCUGAUCAUGAAUCUUUGAAACAUAUUAAAAGUCAAGCUAAACUGAAUCGUAGACAUGCUAAAUGGGUUGAAUUCAUUGAGACUUUUCCUUAUGUCAUUAAACACAAGAAGGGAAAAGAAAAUGUUGUUGCUGAUGCAUUGUCUCGCCGCUAUACUAUGCUUUCACAACUUGACUUCAAAAUAUUUGGUUUGGAGACCAUCAAAGAUCAAUAUGUGCAUGAUGCUGAUUUUAAAGAUGUAAUGCAGAAUUGUAAAGAAGGAAGAAUGUGGAACAAGUUCGUCGUUAACGAUGGAUUUGUGUUUCGUGCUAACAAGCUAUGCAUUCCAGCUAGCUCCGUUCGUCUUUUGUUGUUGCAGGAGGCGCAUGGAGGAGGAUUAAUGGGACACUUUGGCGUGAAGAAGACGGAGGACGUACUUGCUACACAUUUCUUUUGGCCAAAGAUGAGACGGGAUGUUGAGCGUUUUAUUGCUCGCUGCACUACAUGUCAAAAAGCUAAGUCACGACUCAAUCCUCAUGGUUUAUAUAUGCCUUUGCCUGUACCUAGUGUUCCUUGGGAGGAUAUAUCUAUGGACUUUGUUUUAGGUUUACCUCGAACAAAGAAGGGGAGGUAUAGCAUAUUUGUUGUCGUGGAUAGAUUCUCGAAAAUGGCACACUUUAUACCAUGUCAUAAAAGCGAUGAUGCUGUUAAUGUUGCUGAUUUGUUCUUUCGUGAAAUUAUUCGUUUGCAUGGUGUGCCAAAUACUAUUGUUUCAGAUCGUGAUACUAAAUUUCUUAGCCACUUUUGGAGAUGUUUAUGGGCUAAGUUGGGGACUAAACUGCUUUUUAGUACUACUUGUCACCCCCAAACUGAUGGACAAACUGAAGUAGUCAAUAGAACGUUGUCUACUAUGCUUAGGGCUGUUUUGAAGAAUAAUAAGAAAAUGUGGGAGGAAUGCUUGCCUCAUAUUGAAUUUGCUUAUAAUCGUUCAUUGCAUUCUACUACUAAGAUGUGCCCUUUUGAAGUUGUGUAUGGUUUCCUACCUCGUGCACCUAUUGAUUUGUUGCCUCUUCCAUCUUCGGAUUUUGGGGUUAGUCCCACUUUUAACAUUGCAGAUUUGAAGCCUUAUUUGGGUGACGAAGAUGAACUUCCGUCGAGGACGACUUCAUUUCAAGAAGGGGAGGAUGAUGAGGACAUCAAUACAAUUGUUACACCCACAGCCCCUGCUGCUAUACAUACUGGACCAAUUACUAGAGCUCGUGCACGCCAACUAAAUUACCAGGUACUUUCGUUUCUUGGUAAUGAUUCUAAUGUUCAUGAGAAUAUGAUGCUGCCUAAAUUGGAUACAUUUGUUUUGCUUACAAAUGAAGGGCCUAGCUUGGAGAAGGAUGAACAUUGGAGCAAGAACAAGCAUGGAGAUGAUGGCAUGCGCAAGGGUAACAAGAACGGAGUUACAAGUGAUGAUUUCAGGACUUUGAAGCCACCAUAAUGGGUGCAUGAAGCCUUGGACGAAAUAUACAAGAUGCCACUUCAUAAAUUUCGUCCCGAGGCUAUUUUAGGUGCUGCGUCACCUUAUUAUUGGGCCAGGCCCAUGUAAUUUCGAAAUACAUAAGUAUAGGCUAUUUUUAGAGUCUGUAUGUGUGGGGAAACAAGAGAUAGGGUUGAUUUCGGACCCCUCCACCAAGGGCCACGAAAUUCCCCCCUCUUCCUCCAUAUAUACAGCCCUUAGGGCAUCGUUUAGACUUUGGGGUUUUGUUUAGAUUAAAAGUUCGCCAUAGCUGCAACUUCGCGUACUUCGUUUGUGUUCAACGACCAGACAAAGGCGUCACAGAACCCCACCUUGAUCAAUAAAGCUUUCAUCUUAUAUUCGCAAUAUCCAGAUUGCAAUCUUAGUUUCUUGCUUGUUCUUCAUUUGCUCGCAGGAAACAGACCCUCGUGGUCAGGUUGAUCGUGCUCCGGCGUGGUCAAUAACCUCUCGGAGUUGGUUUAGCGAUUGCUAAGGCGCGACGUCCUCGCACGUUCGUAGUCGGAUCGUCAAAGUCGACUUCCACCAAAGCGAUAUCCAUCAUCUCAUCGAAAGACGGGACACCUUUGCCUCUAUCAGUCCCCAACUUAGCCCAUAAACAUCUCCAAAAGUGGCUAAGAAAUUUAGUAUCACGAUCUGAAACAAUAGUAUUUGGCACACCAUGCAAGCGAAUAAUUUCACGAAAGAACAAAUCAGCAACAUUAACAGCAUCAUCGCUUUUAUGACAUGGUAUAAAGUGUGCCAUUUUCGAGAAUCUAUCCACGACAACAAAUAUGCUAUCCCUCCCCUUCUUUGUUCGAGGUAAACCUAAAACAAAGUCCAUAGAUAUAUCCUCCCAAGGAACACUAGGUACAGGCAAAGGCAUAUAUAAACCAUGAGGAUUGAGUCGUGACUUAGCUUUUUGACAUGUAGUGCAGCGAGCAAUAAAACGCUCAACAUCCCGUCUCAUCUUUGGCCAAAAGAAAUGUGUAGCAAGUACGUCCUCCGUCUUCUUCACGCCAAAGUGUCCCAUUAAUCCUCCUCCAUGCGCUUCCUGCAACAACAAAAGACGAACGGAGCUAGCUGGAAUGCAUAGCUUGUUAGCACGAAACACAAAUCCAUCGUUAACAACAAACUUGUUCCACAUUCUUCCUUCUUUACAAUUCUGCAUUACAUCUUUAAAAUCAGCAUCAUGCACAUAUUGAUCUUUGAUGGUCUCCAAACCAAAUAUUUUGAAGUCAAGUUGUGAAAGCAUAGUAUAGCGACGAGACAAUGCAUCAGCAAUAACAUUUUCUUUUCCCUUCUUGUGUUUAAUGACAUAAGGGAAAGUCUCAAUGAAUUCAACCCAUUUAGCAUGUCUACGAUUCAGUUUAGCUUGACUUUUAAUAUGUUUCAAAGAUUCAUGAUCAGAAUGUAUAACAAAUUCUUUGGGCCAUAAAUAAUGUUGCCAUGUUUCUAAAGUCCGAACAAGAGCAUAUAAUUCUUUAUCAUAAGUAGAAUAAUUCAGACUAGGCCCACUCAAUUUUUCAGAAAAGUAUACAAUAGGUUUGCCAUCUUGUAAUAACACACCUCCUAAUCCAAUUCCACUAGCAUCACAUUCAAGCUCAAAAGUCUUAUUAAAAUCAGGAAGUUGGAGUAAAGGAGCAUGUGUCAACUUAUCUUUCAAUACCGUGAAGGCUUCUUCCUGUGCGGUACCCCAAAGAAAAGGCACAUCUUUCUUUGUAAGCUCAUUGAGAGGUGCAGCAAUGGUGCUGAAAUCUCUCACAAAACGCCUAUAGAAUCCAGCGAGGCCAAGAAAACUCCUCACUUGUGUGACCGUUUUGGGCUGCGGCCAACUCUCAAUAGCUUCAAUCUUGGCUUUAUCAACUUCAAUUCCCUGUGGAGUAACAACAUAGCCAAGAAAAGAUACUCGGUCGGUGCAAAAGGUGCACUUCCCAAGGUUACCAAACAAACGUGCAUCACGUAGAGCAAUAAAAACAACACGUAAAUGUUCCAAAUGUUAUUCCAAAGAUCUGCUAUAAAUCAAUAUGUCAUCAAAGUAAACUACCACAAAUCGUCCAAUGAAAGCACGUAAAACUUCGUUCAUUAAUCUCAUGAAAGUACUAGGUGCAUUAGUUAACCCAAAAGGCAUGACUAACCACUCAUAUAAUCCAAACUUAGUUUUAAAUGCUGUUUUCCAUUCAUCUCCCAAUUUCAUACGAAUUUGAUGGUAGCCACUACGCAAAUCAACUUUGGAGAAUAUUGUAGAGCCACUCAAUUCAUCAAGCAUAUCAUCUAGCCUAGGAAUAGGAUGACGAUAACGAAUAGUAAUAUUAUUAAUGCCUCUACAAUCAACACACAUACGUGAUGUACCAUCCUUUUUCGGCACUAGAAUAAUAGGAACAGCACAAGGACUAAGGGAUUCGCGUAUAUAACCUUUGUCGAGAAGCUCUUAUACUUGACGCAUAAUCUCCUUCGUCUCCUCUGGAUUGGUACGGUAUGGUGCACAGUUUGGCAGUGAAGCACCGGGAAUUAAGUCAAUCUGAUGCUCAAUCCCUCGAAUAGGCGGUAAUCCCGGUGGCACGUCUUGUGGAAAGACGUCAGCGAACUCCUGCAAAAUGUUAGUGACAGCAGGAGGCAAAGAGGAAGGCACGUCCUCGAAUGAAAAUAAUGCCUCUUUGCACACAAAAGCAUAGCAAACAGAUUUGCUGAAAUCUAGGUCAUCAAUAUCAGAUUUGGUGGCAAAUAAACAUGCACUUUUCAAUUUAAUUUCAGAAGCAACACUAGAUGGUUUAUUAUUAGGCUUCAUUUGUUGCUCAAAUUCUUUUGCCACAAUCUGAUUUUCACUCUUAUUCAUCUCCUAUUUUGCUUUAUUAGCUCUAUUAAUAUCAUCUUUCAAAAUGGAAUCAGGAGUCAUAGGAAGCAAAGUAAUAUUUUUAUCCUUAUGAACAAGAGUAUAGUGAUUGUUUCUACCAUGGUGUACAGAAUUUUUAUCAAAUUGCCAUGGUCUACCAAGUAAUAAGGAACAUGCUUGCAUAGGUACCACAUCACAAUCAACAUAAUCAGCAUAUGUAGAGAUACUAAAAUGCACACGAACAGUACGUGUUACCUUAACCUUGCCGCUGUUGUUGAACCAUUGGAUGUAGUAAGGAUGUGGAUGUGGUCUUGUGGUGAGAGAAAGCUUCUCCACCAUCUCCAUGCUAGCCAAGUUGUUGCAGCUCCCUCCGUCUAUGAUGACGCGCACAGAACGUUCCUUCACCACAAAACUCUAAAAGACUAGACUCUAAGACCAGCAACUAGACACGACGAUGCAACCGCAAAUUCAACAAAGCAAAACCCUAAAAAGAUUAUGCAAAGGCUCAGAUUGGUUCGGAUAUGAUGAACUAACCCUAAUUUUUUUUGGCUUUUUCGUGGACUGUAGGUAUGAAGAACAGACUCGAUCUAAACUACGAAAAACUGUAAAAUCUCACCGAGCAACCUGGAAAUCUGAUACCACUUGAUAGAGGCAAAGGUGUCCCGUCUUUCGAUGAGAUGGUGGAUUUCGCUUUGGUGGAAGUCGACUUUGACGAUCCGACUACGAACGUGCGAGGACGUCGCGCCUUAGCAAUCGCUAAACCAACUCUGAGAGGUUAUUGACCACGCCGGAGCACGAUCAACCUGACCACGAGGGUCUGUUUCCUGCGAGCAAACGAAGAACAAGCAAGAAACUAAGAUUGCAAUCUGGAUAUUGCGAAUAUAAGAUGAAAGCUUUAUUGAUCAAGGUGGGGUUCUGUGACGCCUUUGUCUAGUCGUUGAACACAAACGAAGUACGCGAAGUUGCAGCUAUGGCGAACUUUUAAUCUAAACAAAACCCAAAGUCUAAACGAUGCCCUAAGGGCUGUAUAUAUGGAGGAAGAGGGGGGAAUUUCGUGGCCCUUGGUGGAGGGGUCCGAAAUCAACCCUAUCUCUUGUUUCCCCACACAUACGGGCUCUAAAAAUAGCCUAUACUUAUGUAUUUCGAAAUUACAUGGGCCUGGCCCAAUAAUAAGGUGACGCAGCACCUAAAAUAGCCUCGGGACGAAAUUUAUGAAGUGGCAUCUUGUAUAUUUCGUCCAAGGCUUCAUGCACCCAUUAUGGUGGCUUCAAAGUCCUGAAAUCAUCACUUGUAACUCCGUUCUUGUUCCCCUUGCGCAUGCCAUCAUCUCCAUGCUUGUUCUUGCUCCAAUGUUCAUCCUUCUCCAAGCUAGGCCCUUCAUUUGUAAGCAAAACAAAUGUAUCCAAUUUAGGCAGCAUCAUAUUCUCAUGAAUAUUAGAAUCAUUACCAAGAAAUGAAAGUACCUGGUAAUUUAGUUGGCGUGCACGAGCUCUAGUAAUUGGUCCAGUAUGUAUAGCAGCAGGGGCUGUGGGUGUAACAAUUGUAUUGAUGUCCUCAUCAAAAACGGUCACACAAGUGAGGAGUUUUCUUGGCCUCGCUGGAUUCUAUAGGCGUUUUGUGAGAGAUUUCAGCACCAUUGCUGCACCUCUCAAUGAGCUUACAAAGAAAGAUGUGCCUUUUCUUUGGGGUACUGCACAGGAAGAAGCUUUCACGGUAUUGAAAGAUAAGUUGACACAUGCUCCUUUACUCCUACUUCCUGAUUUUAAUAAGACUUUUGAGCUUGAAUGUGAUGCUAGUGGAAUUGGAUUAGGAGGUGUGUUAUUACAAGAUGGCAAAUCUGUUGCAUACUUUUCUGAAAAAUUGAGUGGGCCUAGUCUGAAUUAUUCUACCUAUGAUAAAGAAUUAUAUGCUCUUGUUCGGACUUUAGAAACAUGGCAACAUUAUUUAUGGCCCAAAGAAUUUGUUAUACAUUCUGAUCAUGAAUCUUUGAAACAUAUUAAAAGUCAAGCUAAACUGAAUCGUAGACAUGCUAAAUGGGUUGAAUUCAUUGAGACUUUCCCUUAUGUCAUUAAACACAAGAAGGGAAAAGAAAAUGUUAUUGCUGAUGCAUUGUCUCGUCGCUAUACUAUGCUUUCACAACUUGACUUCAAAAUAUUUGGUUUGGAGACCAUCAAAGAUCAAUAUGUGCAUGAUGCUGAUUUUAAAGAUGUAAUGCAGAAUUGUAAAGAAGGAAGAAUGUGGAACAAGUUUGUUGUUAACGAUGGAUUUGUGUUUCGUGCUAACAAGCUAUGCAUUCCAGCUAGCUCCGUUCGUCUUUUGUUGUUGCAGGAAGCGCAUGGAGGAGGAUUAAUGGGACACUUUGGCGUGAAGAAGACGGAGGACGUACUUGCUACACAUUUCUUUUGGCCAAAGAUGAGACGGGAUGUUGAGCGUUUUAUUGCUCGCUGCACUACAUGUCAAAAAGCUAAGUCACGACUCAAUCCUCAUGGUUUAUAUAUGCCUUUGCCUGUACCUAGUGUUCCUUGGGAGGAUAUAUCUAUGGACUUUGUUUUAGGUUUACCUCGAACAAAGAAGGGGAGGGAUAGCAUAUUUGUUGUCGUGGAUAGAUUCUCGAAAAUGGCACACUUUAUACCAUGUCAUAAAAGCGAUGAUGCUGUUAAUGUUGCUGAUUUGUUCUUUCGUGAAAUUAUUCGCUUGCAUGGUGUGCCAAAUACUAUUGUUUCAGAUCGUGAUACUAAAUUUCUUAGCCACUUUUGGAGAUGUUUAUGGGCUAAGUUGGGGACUAAACUGCUUUUUAGUACUACUUGUCACCCCCAAACUGAUGGACAAACUGAAGUAGUCAAUAGAACGUUGUCUCCUAUGCUUAGGGCUGUUUUGAAGAAUAAUAAGAAAAUUUGGGAGGAAUGCUUGCCUCAUAUUGAAUUUGCUUAUAAUCGUUCAUUGCAUUCUACUACUAAGAUGUGCCCUUUUGAAGUUGUGUAUGGUUUCCUACCUCGUGCACCUAUUGAUUUGUUGCCUCUUCCAUCUUCGGAGAAGGUUAAUUUUGAUGCUAAACAACGUGCUGAAUUGAUUUUAAAAAUGCAUGAGUUAACUAAGGAAAACAUUGAGCGUAUGAAUGCUAAAUAUAAACUUGCUGGAGAUAAGGGUAGAAAACAUGUUGUGUUUGCACCUGGAGAUCUUGUUUGGUUACAUUUGCGUAAGGAUAGAUUUCCUGAUUUGCGCAAAUCAAAGUUAAUGCCACGUGUUGAUGGUCCCUUUAAGGUGUUAGAGAAAAUAAAUGAUAAUGCAUAUAAACUUGAGCUGCCUGCAGAUUUUGGGGUUAGUCCCACUUUUAACAUUGCAGAUUUGAAGCCUUAUUUGGGUGAGGAAGAUGAACUUCCGUCGAUGAUAGAGGCAAAGGUGUCCCGUCUUUCGAUGAGAUGAUGGAUAUCGCUUUGGUGGCAGUCGACUUUGAUGAUCCGACUACGAACGUGCGAGGACGUCGCGCCUUAGCAAUCGCUAAACCAACUCCGAGAGGUUAUUGACCACGCCGGAGCACGAUCAACCUGACCACGAGGGUCUGUUUCCUGCGAGCAAACGAAGAACAAGCAAGAAACUGAGAUUGCAAUCUGGAUAUUGCGAAUAUAAGAUGAAAGCUUUAUUGAUCAAGGUGGGGUUCUGUGACGCCUUUGUCUGGUCGUUGAACACAAACGAAGUACGCGAAGUUGCAGCUAUGGCGAACUUUUAAUCUAAACAAAACCCAAAGUCUAAGCGAUGCCCUAAGGGCUGUAUAUAUGGAGGAAGAGGGGGGAAUUUCGUGGCCCUUGGUGGAGGGGUCCGAAAUCAACCCUAUCUCUUGUUUCCCCACACAUACGGACUCUAAAAAUAGCCUAUACUUAUGUAUUUCGAAAUUACAUGGGCCUGGCCCAAUAAUAAGGUGACGCAGCACCUAAAAUAGCCUCGGGACGAAAUUUAUGAAGUGGCAUCUUGUAUAUUUCGUCCAAGGCUUCAUGCACCCAUUAUGGUGGCUUCAAAGUCCUGAAAUCAUCACUUGUAACUCCGUUCUUGUUCCCCUUGCGCAUGCCAUCAUCUCCAUGCUUGUUCUUGCUCCAAUGUUCAUCCUUCUCCAAGCUAGGCCCUUCAUUUGUAAGCAAAACAAAUGUAUCCAAUUUAGGCAGCAUCAUAUUCUCAUGAACAUUAGAAUCAUUACCAAGAAACGAAAGUACCUAGUAAUUUAGUUGGCGUGCACGAGCUCUAGUAAUUGGUCCAGUAUGUAUAGCAGCAGGGGCUGUGGGUGUAACAAUUGUAUUGAUGUCCUCAUCAACAUAUAAGUGAAGCUCUUAUUCAUUUCAAAAGAUUGACAAUGUUCAUCAUUAAACCAUCCCAAUAUUGGUGAAUAAACCUUACUUGCAUCAAAUUUACAUGCUACAACAUGCUUAAAUAAGCAAACAUGCAAUAAGUCAUUCAACACAGAAUCAUCACCAAGAUUAGAGGUCAUAUCAAAAUGAUUAAACAUUGGUUCUUUUGCAUCAAUAGUUAAUUCAAUGGGUGCACUCAAAAUUGUUGGUAUUUCAGUUGUUUGAUCACAUGGCAAAGUCAAAUUAUCAAUGUAGUCCUCUAAAAUAGGUGGUGUGAUCAAAGUAGUGGGUAGCUCAUCAGAUGGUGCAUUCAAAUUGACAAGGCAUUCAUCAUUCUCAUGUAGAGAUGGAAGAUCAAUACCUUUGUCAUUACCUCUUAUGAUCAACUCAGAUGAUGUAGCCACUCUCGGGGGCGAUGUGUCACAUGGUGGAGGUGAUGUAGUCCUGACAUCAACGGAUGUCAUAGUAUGCCUAGUAGUUGAAGGAACAAUCAUAUCAACUCUUGGAAUGUGCACCGUGUGCUUGUUCUCCUCGUGGCCAACACGUCGUUUUAUUUCCUGUUCAGCUUUGCAAGCAAGAUGAAACAAAUGGUCCAUAGGAUAACACUCUUCAUGAAUUAGUAUCUCUUGAAUAUCACGGUUUAAUCCUCCCCAAAAUCUAUCCAUAAAAUCAUCUUCACUUUCUUCUAAAGAGGAAUGCAACAAGGUAGUUUGUAAAUCAUCAUAAUAUUUUGUUACAGUUUCACUACCUUGUUUUAAGUGUUGCAACUUCUUAAUCAUGUCACGAGUAUAAUAAGCAGGGACGAAAGUAUGUCGCAUGGCAAGUUUCAAAUCAUCCCAAGUAGUAGGUAUAUAAUCAGGGUGUAACCGACAAUAUUCACUCCACCAAACCAAAGCAUAACCAGUGAAAGAACCAACCGCAACCUUAACCUUUUUAUGUUCAUCGAAAUUAUGGGAAGCAAAUAUAUUUUUUAUGUCGAACUCCCAUUCAAUAUAUAAAGCAGGUUUAAAACGGCCAUUAAAUGGUGGUAUAGAUACAUUAACCUGAUCAUGUGCAUUUGGAUGUUUGUGCACCUCUCGUGACGGUUGUGGUAUUUGCAAAGGUGGUGGCACGUCUCCCGCAAUCGACAAAGCCCAUGAAUUGACUCUGGAUCCUGUCAUGAUUAGUAGAACAAGAAACAAAACCCAACAAUAAUGUUCCUAUAACUACUAGGAUGUGGUGGUAAAACACUCACAGUAAAGCAAAUAUCAAUGUCUUACAAGUUCUUACCAUGCAGCAGGCGGUGAUCGGCAACCAGUGGUGUCAAGUAACUCCGAAUAUUGAGUAAAGCGAUUGCCAGGGGAGCGUACGUAUACUGGUGUAGAAAUAUGUGGAGCUGGGUUGGCUAUAUAUGGUAGCAAAAGAUUAGCAAUAAUCAAUUCAAAGAUGCAAUGUUGAAUAAACGCUCAACGACGGUACUGUGCUGGUCCUAGGCUAGACCAAACUAGAGACGCGAGCCUAGAACACUAAUGAGGUCACAUCGUAGCACAACUAGCAUCAAUAAAGGAAAUGAAGUAGCUCUGGACAGCAAUAUAUAAGUGAAGAUCACAAUAGCAGUAGACCUAUUUAGAAGCUGAUGUUGAGGUGCCAAAUACUGAACUAGCUUCUGCAACUAUUUAGAUGCGGCUCGUCGCUAGCUUUCAUUUGAGUACUCGCGGAGCCAAAACAGACUUCAUAUGAGGAAGUUAUGCCUGUUUCACUGAACAGUGCACAAAACAGAUUCCAAUCCGAAUUCAACUACGAGAUUGUGUCUAGAUAGAUCCGAAUUUUGUUUUUUUUUCUCCUCUCUUUUUUUCUCACACUUUUUUUCUUUUCCUUUUUUUUCUAUCUUUUUUUUUCUCUCCCUCUUUCCAAAACAAACUAGAUAAGAUGUAGAUUGGAUCAAGCGAAGAUGGGAACGAUCUCAACUAUGAUUAUGACAAUGAACAGUGGGUAGCACGUGGAGGAAAUUGAUGGAUGGGUGGUGGACAGCGGAAGGGAUAACGAUGCAGCGGCAACGUGACUAAUGUGAACAGAACUCGAAACUCUAAACGACCUAGACACUAAGACCAGCAACUCGACACGACGAUGCAACCGAUAAUUCAACUAUGCAAGC